CCUGAUAGCACAUACCAUGCAGUCGACGAUGACUAACUAGCUUGCUAGUUAUGAUUAGUGGCGGACGGGUGAGUAACAUUUAGGAAUCUGCCUAGUAGUGGGGGAUAGCUCGGGGAAACUCGAAUUAAUACCGCAUACGACCUACGGGUGAAAGGGGGCGCAAGCUCUUGCUAUUAGAUGAGCCUAAAUCAGAUUAGCUAGUUGGUGAGGUAAAGGCCCACCAAGGCGACGAUCUGUAACUGGUCUGAGAGGAUGAUCAGUCACACCGGAACUGAGACACGGUCCGGACUCCUACGGGAGGCAGCAGUGGGGAAUAUUGGACAAUGGGGGCAACCCUGAUCCAGCCAUGCCGCGUGUGUGAAGAAGGCCUUUUGGUUGUAAAGCACUUUAAGCAGGGAGGAGAGGCUAAUGGUUAAUACCCAUUAGAUUAGACGUUACCUGCAGAAUAAGCACCGGCUAACUCUGUGCCAGCAGCCGCGGUAAUACAGAGGGUGCGAGCGUUAAUCGGAAUUACUGGGCGUAAAGCGAGUGUAGGUGGCUCAUUAAGUCACAUGUGAAAUCCCCGGGCUUAACCUGGGAACUGCAUGUGAUACUGGUGGUGCUAGAAUAUGUGAGAGGGAAGUAGAAUUCCAGGUGUAGCGGUGAAAUGCGUAGAGAUCUGGAGGAAUACCGAUGGCGAAGGCAGCUUCCUGGCAUAAUAUUGACACUGAGAUUCGAAAGCGUGGGUAGCAAACAGGAUUAGAUACCCUGGUAGUCCACGCCGUAAACGAUGUCUACUAGCCGUUGGGGUCCUUGAGACUUUAGUGGCGCAGUUAACGCGAUAAGUAGACCGCCUGGGGAGUACGGCC
RNAcentral lists this ribosomal RNA (848 nucleotides) under uncultured Gammaproteobacteria bacterium. RNAcentral describes it as "bacterial SSU rRNA". It matches the Rfam family "Bacterial small subunit ribosomal RNA", at positions 43 to 887 of the family's 1533-position model. The record is from RNAcentral. Lineage: Bacteria; Pseudomonadati; Pseudomonadota; Gammaproteobacteria.